This 641-nucleotide ribosomal RNA is filed under the name uncultured Fusobacteriota bacterium. Its description in RNAcentral is "bacterial SSU rRNA". It matches the Rfam family "Bacterial small subunit ribosomal RNA", at positions 85 to 740 of the family's 1533-position model. The record is from RNAcentral. Lineage: Bacteria; Fusobacteriati; Fusobacteriota.
UUCGGUUUGGGUGGCGGACGGGUGAGUAACGCGUAAAGAACUUGCCUCACAGAUAGGGACAACAUUUGGAAACGAAUGCUAAUACCUGAUAUUAUGAUUUUAGGGCAUCCUAGGAUUAUGAAAGCUAUAUGCGCUGUGAGAGAGCUUUGCGUCCCAUUAGCUAGUUGGAGAGGUAACGGCUCACCAAGGCGAUGAUGGGUAGCCGGCCUGAGAGGGUGAUCGGCCACAAGGGGACUGAGACACGGCCCUUACUCCUACGGGAGGCAGCAGUGGGGAAUAUUGGACAAUGGACCAAGAGUCUGAUCCAGCAAUUCUGUGUGCACGAUGAAGUUUUUCGGAAUGUAAAGUGCUUUCAGUUGGGAAGAAAAGAAUGACGGUACCAACAGAAGAAGUGACGGCUAAAUACGUGCCAGCAGCCGCGGUAAUACGUAUGUCACAAGCGUUAUCCGGAUUUAUUGGGCGUAAAGCGCGUCUAGGUGGUUAUGUAAGUCUGAUGUGAAAAUGCAGGGCUCAACUCUGUAUUGCGUUGGAAACUGUGUAACUAGAGUGCUGGAGAGGUAAGCGGAACUACAAGUGUAGAGGUGAAAUUCGUAGAUAUUUGUAGGAAUGCCGAUGGGGAAGCCAGCUUACUGGACAGAUAC